AUUGAACGCUGGCGGCAUGCCUUACACAUGCAAGUCGAACGGCAGCGGGGGAGAAGCUUGCUUUUCCUGCCGGCGAGUGGCGAACGGGUGAGUAAUACAUCGGAACGUGCCCUGUAGUGGGGGAUAACUAGUCGAAAGAUUAGCUAAUACCGCAUACGACCUGAGGGUGAAAGUGGGGGACCGCAAGGCCUCAUGCUAUAGGAGCGGCCGAUGUCUGAUUAGCUAGUUGGUGGGGUAAAGGCCUACCAAGGCGACGAUCAGUAGCUGGUCUGAGAGGACGAUCAGCCAACCUGGGACUGAGACACGGCCCAGACUCCUACGGGAGGCAGCAGUGGGGAAUUUUGGACAAUGGGCGAAAGCCUGAUCCAGCAAUGCCGCGUGUGUGAAGAAGGCCUUCGGGUUGUAAAGCACUUUUGUCCGGAAAGAAAUGGCUCUGGUUAAUACCUGGGGUCGAUGAUGGUACCGGAAGAAUAAGGACCGGCUAACUACGUGCCAGCCGCCGCGGUAA
Molecule: ribosomal RNA, 508 nt
Filed under: uncultured bacterium
Lineage: Bacteria
Description: partial 16S ribosomal RNA
Rfam family: Bacterial small subunit ribosomal RNA
Source: RNAcentral